ACCUCUACGCAUGUUUUGAUGACGUCAUUAAAAAAAACCAACUUUUUUAUAUCUGUUCGAAAAGACAGCCGUGAAUGAUUUUUCUCAUGUGACAUCAACGUUUAACCAAUGGCCGCUGGUUAGAGUGCUGCGAUUAGGUUCGUGUAACGCAAACAAAAAUCGAUGCAUGCCACUCCCGACUGAAAACGAGGCAAACGAAGAAAAGAGUCGUUUCCUACGUGGCUAAGCAUUGUCAACAUGGCCGCUGUCGACUCGCUGGUAAAUGGUAUUAGUAAUUUGCAAGUAAAUAGUUCACAUAUUGAUGGACACAAAAGUGAUGAUCGGACAGAUGAAUUUUCAUUGCAAUGGGGGUUCCCCCUUGAAGACCUGUACAAGAUUGCAUUGAAAUUUUUCAAAGAGAAAGAAGGAAAAGCCCUCCAGCUCACAUACAAAGACAAACUCCGCCUUGUGGCAUACACUAAACAAGUCCUCCAUGGAAAGUUUCGCAGUGAUGCAGUGCCAGAUGUAGGAUUUUUGGAUGUUGUUGGAAAUGAUCGAAGUACUGAUCCUGAAGAAUGGCAAGCAUGGCAGAUAUUGGGGAAUAUGCCCAAAGAGACUGCAAUGACAGAGUUUGUGGAGCAGUUAGAUGCUAUGUGUCCACUCUUUCGACCUUAUGUGCAGGCUCACAAGACAGAAAAGGAAGAAAAACUGCGGAAACAGCAAGAAGAGGAAGCGUUGCAUAGAAAGGAAGAAGAGGAGAAGCACAUGCUGGAGGCAGAAGAUGCAGCUCGCAAACAGCAAGAAGCUGAGAGACAACGUCAGCAUGAGCAAGAGUUGCAGAUAAGGGCAGCACUCAAUCAGCAGACUGCCCAUCAGUUCAGACAGUACUCUCAACAGCAGUAUCCAGGCAAUUCACAAAUGCAGGAGGAGCUCAUUCGUCAACUGCAGGAGCAGCACUACCAGCAGUACAUGCAACAGGUCUAUCAGCAGCAGCUCUUGCACCAACAACAGCAGUUUCAACAGCUUCAAAAUACUUAUAAAAACCAGGGAGCCUCUUCUAAUUCAGCACAGGGUUCAAAUGGUUCAUUUUGUCCAGCUACCAAUGGCUCAAGUGCUGGUGAUGGUGGUACUGAAGGACAAGGGGAUGAAGAUGGUGAAGUAGGCGAUAGUGCUGCAGGUGAAGAAGCCUCCCUGCCACCAAUGCCCAAAAUAGUGCCUGCCUCACUGUGGACACGUAAAGAUUUGAAGGAAUUUAAAAAUGGUCUACGCAAAAGUAAAGAGAAUGUCAUUUCAGUACCUUCUCUUGGAACAGCUACGGUCAGAGUACCAACACAUGAAGAUGGUACUUGCUUGUUUUGGGAGUUUGCAACUGACAGUUAUGACAUCGGCUUUGGUGUUUAUUUUGAAUGGACAAUAGCCCCCAGUAACACAGUCAGUGUCCACAUCAGUGAGUCUAGUGACGAGGAGGAACAGGAGGAGUCAGACGCAGGAGGAUAAUUGGUAUCAAACAGGGGGAUUUAGCUUCUUUCUGUGAUCAACUAAACAGGAAAGCUUCACGCCUUUUGUCAACACCUGAACAUGUACUAACUGUACUUUACAUGUACUUUACUUUUAGACUAAAGGAGAUGUUGAGAAGGGUGGAAAAUCUCAAGAAAAUAAACCACCUACAGAUGAGAUAAUUCCAGUCUACCGACGGGACUGUCAUGAAGAAGUUUACUGUGGAAGUCAUGUGUAUCCAGG
Molecule: unclassified non-coding RNA, 1719 nt
Filed under: Pomacea canaliculata
Lineage: Eukaryota; Metazoa; Mollusca; Gastropoda; Architaenioglossa; Ampullariidae
Description: golgi resident protein GCP60-like, transcript variant X4
Source: RNAcentral